GGUAGUCCACGCUGUAAACGAUGUCGACUUGGAGGUUGUGCCCUUGAGGCGUGGCUUCCGGAGCUAACGCGUUAAGUCGACCGCCUGGGGAGUACGGCCGCAAGGUUAAAACUCAAAUGAAUUGACGGGGGCCCGCACAAGCGGUGGAGCAUGUGGUUUAAUUCGAUGCAACGCGAAGAACCUUACCUACUCUUGACAUCCAGAGAAUUCGCUAGAGAUAGCUUAGUGCCUUCGGGAACUCUGAGACAGGUGCUGCAUGGCUGUCGUCAGCUCGUGUUGUGAAAUGUUGGGUUAAGUCCCGCAACGAGCGCAACCCUUAUCCUUUGUUGCCAGCACGUAAUGGUGGGAACUCAAAGGAGACUGCCGGUGAUAAACCGGGGGAAGGUGGGGAUGACGUCAAGUCAUCAUGGCCCUUACGAGUAGGGCUACACACGUGCUACAAUGGCAUAUACAAAGAGAAGCAAACUCGCGAGAGCAAGCGGACCUCAUAAAGUAUGUCGUAGUCCGGAUUGGAGUCUGCAACUCGACUCCAUGAAGUCGGAAUCGCUAGUAAUCGUAGAUCAGAAUGCUACGGUGAAUACGUUCCCGGGCCUUGUACACACCGCCCGUCACACCAUGGGAGUGGGUUGCAAAAGAAGUAGGUAGCUUAACCUUCGGGAGGGCGCUUACCACUUUGUGAUUCAUGACUGGGG
Molecule: ribosomal RNA, 692 nt
Filed under: uncultured Serratia sp.
Lineage: Bacteria; Pseudomonadati; Pseudomonadota; Gammaproteobacteria; Enterobacterales; Yersiniaceae
Description: bacterial SSU rRNA
Rfam family: Bacterial small subunit ribosomal RNA
Source: RNAcentral